GUGAAAUACAAAUCGGACUAGGAUAUAGCUGGUUUUCUGCGAAAUCUAUUUUAGUAGAUGACUUAUUUUAUUAUUAGUGGGUAUAGCACUGAAUAUCUAAUAGUUAUUUAAAGGGAGUAUGAAAGUACUUACCUUGGAUAUUUAAUCUCAGAAUAAUUAAUAAGAAAAUAGAUAAGUUAUCAGACUUCUUGCGAUAAGGUGGGAAGUCGAGAGGGGAACAGCCCAGAAUAAUGUAUAAAGUUCCAUAAUUGUUAUUUAG
This 259-nucleotide ribosomal RNA is filed under the name Pneumocystis sp. L7. RNAcentral describes it as "partial large subunit ribosomal RNA". It matches the Rfam family "Bacterial large subunit ribosomal RNA", at positions 821 to 1063 of the family's 2925-position model. The record is from RNAcentral. Lineage: Eukaryota; Fungi; Ascomycota; Pneumocystomycetes; Pneumocystales; Pneumocystaceae.